CCUACGGGAGGCAGCAGUGAGGAAUAUUGGUCAAUGGAUGAGAGUCUGAACCAGCCAAGUAGCGUGAAGGAUGACUGCCCUAUGGGUUGUAAACUUCUUUUAUAUGGGAAUAAAAUGUUCCACGGUUGGGAUUUUGUAUGUACCAUAUGAAUAAGGAUCGGCUAACUCCGUGCCCGCAGCCGCGGUAAUACGGAGGAUGCGAGCGGUAUCCGGGUUUAUUGGGGUUAAAGGGAUCGUAGGAGGAUUGUUAAGUAAAUUGUGAAAGUUUGCGGCUCAACCUGAAAAUUGCAGUUGAAACUGGCAGUCUUGAGUACAGUAGAGGUGGGCGGAAUUCGUGGUGUAGCGGUGAAAUGCUUAGAUAUCACGAAGAACUCCGAUUGCGAAGGCAGCUCACUGGACUGCAACUGACACUGAGGCUCGAAAGUGUGGGUAUCAAACAGGAUUAGAUACCCCAGUAGUC
Molecule: ribosomal RNA, 460 nt
Filed under: uncultured bacterium
Lineage: Bacteria
Description: partial 16S ribosomal RNA
Rfam family: Bacterial small subunit ribosomal RNA
Source: RNAcentral